UUCCGGUUGAUCCCGCCGGACCCAACCGCUAUCGGGGUGGGGCUAAGCCAUGGGAGUCGUACGCCCCCGGGUCAAGGGGGCGUGGCGGACGGCUGAGUAACACGUGGCUAACCUACCCUCGGGACGGGGACAACCCCGGGAAACUGGGGACGAUCCCCGAUAGGGGAAGGGUGCUGGAACGCCCCUUCUCCGAAAGGGCCGCGGGCUACCGCUCGCGGUCGCCCGAGGAUGGGGCUGCGGCCCAUCAGGUAGUUGGCGGGGUAACGGCCCGCCAAGCCUAUAACGGGUAGGGGCCCUGAUAGGGGGAGCCCCCAGUUGGGCACUGAGACAAGGGCCCAGGCCCUACGGGGCGCACCAGGCGCGAAACGUCCCCAAUGCGCGAAAGCGUGAGGGCGCCACCCCGAGUGCCCCCGAAAGGGGGCUUUUCCCCGCUCUAAAAAGGCGGGGGAAUAAGCGGG
This 458-nucleotide ribosomal RNA is filed under the name unidentified archaeon. RNAcentral's name for it is "bacterial SSU rRNA". It matches the Rfam family "Archaeal small subunit ribosomal RNA", at positions 1 to 443 of the family's 1478-position model. The record is from RNAcentral.